This is a long non-coding RNA of Microtus oregoni (creeping vole), 999 nucleotides long. RefSeq lists it as uncharacterized. Lineage: Eukaryota; Metazoa; Chordata; Mammalia; Rodentia; Cricetidae. The record is from RefSeq and is a predicted model, not a curated record. The transcript has 8 exons.
CAGGGGUGUGGCUUUUCGCUUUGCCAGCAGUACAAAGUUUUCACCUGGUGACAAGACCUUUAGGGCAUAUGACUCAGGAAGACAUCUGGAUGACCAUUUGGCAUUGGACAACCAACUGGUGUGCUCUUCUCUGGGGAAGACCAGACAUCUCUCUUGCUCCCAGCUUUUCUCAGUUACCUACUGUUCUUUGUAGGCUCUGCCAAGGAGAAGGGCCACUCUUCUAUCAUCGGCAUUUGAACCAUCAGCAAUUUUGAGCAUCUCCAUCUUCAGAACAUCACAAAUGGACCACUGCUUGCUGCCUCCACAGCUGCCAUUCUCUUACCUGUUCUUGAAGCUCUGAAAAUAACCUAUUAAACAUUGGAUUCCUGCUUUCACUCUUUCUUCCCCUCUACUGCAACAUCAUGACAGGCUCAGAGAGGAGUCCACCUCUUCUGCUCCUCCAAGGAAGCAACUCUCCCCAACAUUGAAAACUUCCAGGAAUUUGCUGUGUCAAGGGUUGGAAGAACAACAGUGGUCCAAGAUUACUUCUCACAGAGAAGAUAUGGAGAAUGAUUGAGUUGCUAUUGGUCAAUUGUAUAAUAGUUGGCUUUGCAUUCUCUGCAAAUGGCCCUUCCAAAAGAAAGUCUCUGCUGCUUCUCUCUGUGAAGGAAGGUCUGAAGAUUCCAUGCUGGCUAUGCAGAGCUGACUAUACUAAGAGUUUCUUCACUCUUCCAUCCCUCCAUUUCAAGCAACUGCGAGCUAACACAGAUCCAUAUGACAUAUGGGGGAGAGGGGCCUAAGAAGGAGGCCAGAAGCAAAGAAUUUGGAUCCACCAACAUCACGGAGCACAGGAGUUGUUCUACUAGCACUGAAUAGUUUGAAAAAUACCAGUACAACAUAGAACCUCCUUACAAUGAACUCUUCAGCUGGAUUUCCUGAGCUCAGCCUAGUGUUUGACUGUGGAUCUCUGCAUCUGUUUCUACCAGUGGUUGGAUGAAGCCUAUCUGAUGGCCAUCGGGC